AAUAAACGUAAAUUUCUUCUUAUUAGAAUAUGUGGUGCAAAAUGUAAACCGAAUAGAAGCAGAAAAUAUUCAGCUUAAUAAGUGGCAAAUGUGCAAUGUGAAAGACAGUUUUAAAAAUUGUGUGUGUGUGCGUGCGUGUGUGUGUGCAUGUUUGUGUUUGUAGUAUGCGUGUGUGGCUGUGUAAGUAAAUGUAAAUACCACGAAAAUCGCUGAACGCCGAAAAUAAAGCAGCAGAAAUCAACGAAGACGAAGACGUCGCCAUCGUCGUCGUCGCCGUCGUCGACGCUAUCAACGAGGCAGCCACUCGCCAAAAAGCAAAGGCAAUACAAGAAAAAGCAGGUGAAGCACAGUCGCAGAGGCAACGCCGAGACGCAUGUACGCUCCAUGUUCCACGCUGGCUGCUCGCCGAAGUCGUCUAAAAGCGCCAGCGAUCGUGUGAGUCGUACGUAUACUUAAUAUUUUGUGGAAGUAGCGCCAACGCCAACGUCAGCGUCAGCGACAACGCAACAACACUCCAAAUGUCCAACUACAACAUGUCAACUUCAAAGCAACAACAAAAA
Drosophila innubila is the source of this 560-nucleotide long non-coding RNA. RefSeq lists it as uncharacterized. The transcript is spliced from 2 exons. The record is from RefSeq and is a predicted model, not a curated record. NCBI's taxonomy places the organism in Eukaryota, Metazoa, Arthropoda, Insecta, Diptera, Drosophilidae.